Molecule: unclassified non-coding RNA, 40 nt
Filed under: synthetic construct
Source: RNAcentral
GGCUGGGUUUUUCCUUCGAAAGAAGGUUUUUAUCCCAGUC